RNAcentral lists this long non-coding RNA (258 nucleotides) under Sus scrofa (pig). RNAcentral's name for it is "lncRNA (ENSSSCG00070004533.1)". The record is from RNAcentral. Lineage: Eukaryota; Metazoa; Chordata; Mammalia; Artiodactyla; Suidae.
AUGGAAGACCCACUAUGUGUUGAUAUCAUGUGUGGAAUCAGGGAUAUAAAGAUAAACACAGCAAGAUUGCUUCCUCAAAACUCAAAAAUUGAAGAAAUGUGCUCUCAGUGACAAGGGGAUGAAAGGUCUUGGUUCCACGAGGGUCCAUUCUGGAAGAAGAGGACCGUGCCAAUGGCAGGUACCCACAGAAGCAUCCAAGUUACCUGGAGGUGGGUGAGGGCUGGGUUAUCACUGAUCCAUGAUUCAGUGAAUAUUUAC